RNAcentral lists this ribosomal RNA (443 nucleotides) under uncultured bacterium. RNAcentral describes it as "partial 16S ribosomal RNA". It matches the Rfam family "Bacterial small subunit ribosomal RNA", at positions 338 to 795 of the family's 1533-position model. The record is from RNAcentral.
CCUACGGGAGGCAGCAGUGGGGAAUAUUGGGCAAUGGAGGAAACUCUGACCCAGCAACGCCGCGUGAAUGAUGAAGGUCUUCGGAUUGUAAAGUUCUUUUCUAAGGGAAGAAGAAAGUGACGGUACCUUAGGAAUAAGCCUCGGCUAACUACGGGCCAGCAGCCGCGGUAAUACGUAGGAGGCAAGCGUUAUCCGGAAUGACUGGGCGUAAAGGGUGCGUAGGUGGUUUGACAAGUUGGUAGCGUAACUCCGAGGCUUAACCUCGGCACUACUACCAAAACUGUUGGCCUCGAGUGCAGGAGGGGCAAAUGGAAGUCCUAGUGUAGCGGUGGAAUGCGGAGAUAUUAGGAGGAACACCAGUGGCGAAGGCGAUUUGCUGGACUGUAACUGACACUGAGGCACGAAAGCGUGGGGAGCAAACAGGAUUAGAUACCCCAGUAGUC